Esox lucius (northern pike) is the source of this 691-nucleotide long non-coding RNA. RefSeq lists it as uncharacterized. The transcript is spliced from 3 exons. The record is from RefSeq and is a predicted model, not a curated record. NCBI's taxonomy places the organism in Eukaryota, Metazoa, Chordata, Actinopteri, Esociformes, Esocidae.
AGAAUAUCCAAAUCCUGAGGCGAAAAGGGAGGCUGGGAAAGCCACCCGGCACUCUGAGAGAAAACGGAACGUGGUCACGUGUACGUGGUUCACGUUACGGGAGAACCACUUCCCUGAUAAGUUUCAGCCUUGAGGUAUGCAUAUGGAUGACGUAUCUGAAAUCAAGCCCACCUGAUGGCAAUCUCGGUCCUCCACCGUUCGCUGGGUCCUGGCCAGCACAGCGCUGGUAUCUCGCCGCAGGGCGUGGAGGUCUGACAGACUGGCGGGCAGGGAGGGUGUUGAGACUGUGGCUUCACUCCACCGUUUCUCGGUAUCAAUCUCACCUACACGGGUGUCUGUUUCUCUGAAGUAAACCUGGGGAAGCGUGUCACUCACGUUGCCUUUGUCUUCACGGUCUGUCUGCCGCUGGGCCCCAGACAGAGAACAGCAGAUCAACGUCCACAGGACCCCUGCGUCACAUACAGCAGAAUGCUUCUUCAGCUACUGACCGCGGUCAGCAUGCAGGGACUCUGACCCACCUCUAGGAGGGGCCUGAUUGGGAAGAGACACGGGCUACCCUCUAGAGACAUGUCUCUCCUCCUCUAGCCCCCGGGCGAUGCUUGGCCAAUCACACACUACCAAUUGGAGCCUGCCGGUGCCGACCGGUUGUGACCCCCUGGCACUGACGCAGGGAUUGUAGUAGCAGGAUAUU